RNAcentral lists this ribosomal RNA (429 nucleotides) under uncultured bacterium. RNAcentral describes it as "bacterial SSU rRNA". It matches the Rfam family "Bacterial small subunit ribosomal RNA", at positions 355 to 776 of the family's 1533-position model. The record is from RNAcentral.
UGGGGAAUAUUGCACAAUGGGCGCAAGCCUGAUGCAGCCAUGCCGCGUGUGUGAAGAAGGCUCUAGGGUUGUAAAGCACUUUCAGUGGGGAGGAAAGGUGAUAAGUUAAUAGCUUAUUGCUGUGACGUUACCCACAGAAGAAGCACCGGCUAACUCCGUGCCAGCAGCCGCGGUAAUACGGAGGGUGCAAGCGUUAAUCGGAAUUACUGGGCGUAAAGCGCGCGUAGGCGGAUAAUUAAGUCGGAUGUGAAAUCCCCGGGCUCAACCUGGGAACUGCAUCCGAUACUGGUUAUCUAGAGUACGAUAGAGGGUGGUAGAAUUUCUUGUGUAGCGGUGAAAUGCGUAGAUAUAAGAAGGAAUACCAGUGGCGAAGGCGGCCACCUGGAUCGAUACUGACGCUGAGGUGCGAAAGCGUGGGGAGCAAACAGG